CGGGAAUAUUGCGCAAUGGAGGAAACUCUGACGCAGUGACGCCGCGUAUAGGAAGAAGUUUUUCGGAAUGUAAACUAUUGUCGUUAGGGAAGAGAAAGGACAGUACCUAAGGAGGAAGCUCCGGCUAACUAUGUGCCAGCAGCCGCGGUAAUACAUAGGGAGCGAGCGUUAUCCGGAAUUAUUGGGUGUAAAGGGUGCGUAGAUGGGUUGACAAGUUAGUUGUGAAAUCCCUUGGCUUAACUGAGGAAUUGCAACUAAAACUAUCAGUCUUGAGUACAGGAGAGGUAAGUGGAAUUCCUAGUGUAGCGGUGAAAUGCGUAGAUAUUAGGAGGAACACCAGUGGCGAAGGCGACUUACUGGACUGAAACUGACAUUGAAGCACGAAAGUGUGGGGAGCAAAC
This 401-nucleotide ribosomal RNA is filed under the name uncultured bacterium. RNAcentral describes it as "bacterial SSU rRNA". It matches the Rfam family "Bacterial small subunit ribosomal RNA", at positions 356 to 773 of the family's 1533-position model. The record is from RNAcentral.